Long non-coding RNA from Xenopus laevis (African clawed frog), 3979 nucleotides. RefSeq lists it as uncharacterized. Lineage: Eukaryota; Metazoa; Chordata; Amphibia; Anura; Pipidae. The record is from RefSeq and is a predicted model, not a curated record. The transcript is spliced from 6 exons.
ACAAGAAUGAUGGCAAGAAAAAAGUAUGGAGAAGGCGUGGAACAGCUCAUGAUCCAACGUAUACCACAUCAUCUGUAAAACGGCGGAGGCAGUGUGAUGUCUUGGGAGUGCAUGGUUGCCAGUGGCACUAUUGUUUAUCGAUGAUGUGACACAGGACAGAAGCAGCCGGAUGAAUUCUGAGGUGAUCAGAGACACCAGGGCAAAUUCACUAACCAGCGGAAAAUCGCCAGCAAUGGCUUCGCUCACAUCACCACACUUUGCCAGGCGAACAUUUUCUCUGACUACGCCAAAUUCACUAUGGAGUGUAAGUUCACUUCCGCGAACGGUCACUUGUGUAUCACUGUUGUGAAGUGUGCUUUUUUGGCACAAAACCAGUAACGUAGUUACGCUAUCGUUUGGUUUGGCAAGAAAAUUUGAUUGCGUAAAUGCGCUAGCGAUCAACGAAAUCUUUUUAAAGGGUAUCUAAGGAGCAGCUGGAGAGUUUACAUUUUGGGAUGAACUUGCUGGAAUACUUCUGCCUGUUAGCAACUUUCUCCAAAGAUGUCCAAGGAAGCAAGAGAAAGACACACACUUGCUGCUGCUGCUUGUCCUGCUGCACGGUUGACAAAAUCUUCUUCUUUAACUAGUAAUGUAACCUUAACCGGUUUUUCUGCUACUGUUCAGGAGACUUCUGACUCGGGUGAGGGUCCAAGUUCAGCAUUAUCUCCUCCUCUUCCAGAACCCCUUACUGAAUGUUUUCCUGAAACGGUCCAUAGCUUUUUCUUUUGCAGAAAACACUGCAUUAGUACAUCAUGUAGUUAGACACUGGGCCAAAUAGUUUGGCAAGGACUACCAGCGCACCUCCAUGGCUCACAAAACUGUCUUAUGGACAGCAAUUGUACUGUAUGUGCAGUCAGUGCUGUGGGGUGCCAAAAUAGAACCAGCAAGAAUUGCCAGAAGCGUUUUGCUGAUAACAUUUUAACAUUGCUCAUUUAAUUUCUUUUUUUGGUUUCAAUUAUUGUAAAGGACUUUAUAAUGUACCAUAACAUAUUUCUGUAAAUGUUUAUCCCUAAUCCUAUUAUUCCAGCUCAUGAAAAGCAUAAUUUUGUUGCUAUGGUACAAGUAGUUUAGCAAUUACAUGCCAAACCAUCAGGCCUGGAUUUUUCACUCUGCCGCUGCUAGGCCAGAGGGUCCUCACAUCUCCCUCUGGUGCCCUGGCUGCGCUGAGUGACAACGUGCUUGUGCGUGAUGAUGCACACACAUUGCGCAGCCCGGAAGAGGAGUUCUGCACCGCUGUCGGAAUGAAGACAUGGCGGGCUUAGUAUUAUACAUAUAUUCACAAUACAAAAGUUGAGCUCAGCUGCUGCGGCGGGUCAAUGUGGGGGGUGGUUGCUCUGCUCUAUUUUGGAAUUGGGAAUUUUUCUUACUAUAAGUUAUAGAGAAGAUGUUAGGGGUGCCUGCUUGCUUCCCCUAACAUCUUGCUGCCCCAAAUCCGUGCCUGCAAACCAUGCUUUUGCAAGUGUUUCAAAUGUAGUUGCUAUAGUACAUGUGGCAUAGCAACCUAAGUAUAGUUUUGUAUGUGUUUCAAAUGUAGUUGUUAUAGUACAUGUGGCAUAGCAACCUAAGUAUAGUUUUGUAUGUGUUUCAGAUGGAGUUGCUAUAGUACAUGUGGCAUAGCAACCUACACAAUAAAUAUUAAUUUCUAACAGCAUUUGGAUCAAAUGUUGAACUACUACUUUCAUAUAUUUUAAAAGAUGUUUCUUAAAAUGCCCUACUAAUGUAAUUGUCACAAUUUAGUUUGUUUUACCCUGCUCCUAAUGUGUGCUACAUGCUCAUGGCUAAAAUAUAACUUCUAUUGUUGUUCACUUAGGACCAGAUAACAUACGGGACUCAAACCAGCAGCAGAGUCAAGAAAUGCAUGUGGAGGAGGAAGAAUGCCAGCAAACACUACCAAUUGUAUGUGAUGAUGAUGAUGAUGUCAAAUUGAGUCUGGAAGCCAUUCCAACAGAACUAGCUGAGCCACACAAACCCUGGAAGCCAUUCCAAGAGAAGUAGCUGAGCCACAGGAAACCCAAGAGAUGCAGCCUCAACAGUAGAAGGAAACACUCCACUAUGAGCCCGAUUCAUUUCAUCAAUCAGUUGAACAGCUGACUGCAAAUCUCCCUUCAAGUAUUGCAGAAAACGGAAAAAGCUAUAUACAAAUGAAACGAGCAUUGAUUCUAAUACAUCAGGACUUCAUGUCACUAAAUGACCAUUUACAGCAGACAGCAGAUACAUCAUUGCGAUUGAAAAGGCAAACAUAUUGAUCUGAUCCUCCAUCCAAAUAAUAUUCUUAAAGCACAGAAUCAGCUCAUUAUGGCUCAAAACCAGCUACUCAAACAGCAGUAACUUGAGGGAGAAAAGUCUAACACCAUUUUUUAUUUUUAGAAAAAAAAAAGUGUACAUUACUUACCUCCAAUAUGCUGAUCUUUCCUGCUGUUUGGGUAAGACAUCAGAAAAAACUAAAACCGGCACUGUCCCAUGGCGUCCAAGGGGUCUCCGCCAUCUUCUUGCUUGUUCUACUUCUUCUACCUUACGUGUUCGCUGCUGUGUCUCUCUUCCGGGACCCGACUUCCUGGUGUGUGACGUCACUUCUGGUUUUGUGACAGACUUUAGCUCCCAGUGUUGUACUCCACACAGCCCUCAUUGGUUCCCUCUCUUUCCAUCUGUUCCCUCUACCCCACUGUUCUCUCUCUUUUCUCCAGCAUUUCUAUCUUCUCUGCCUCCCCCUGCAUUUCUCUCUCCCCAUGCUCAGCCAUUCUUGUUACAUUCCCUCCCCCCAGCGUUUAGCUCUCUCUCCCCGCAGACUCUCUUGCCAAAGCCUUUCUGUUCCGUUCUAUCCCUCAGAAUUGAUCUCUCUCCCCCGCAGCCUUUUUCUCCCUGCAGCCUUUUUCUCCACGCAGACUUUCUCCCCACAGCCUCUGUCCCCUCAGCCGUUCUCUCCCUGGAGCCUUUCCCUGCCCUCAGCCUUUCUCUCCCACAGCAGUUUUGCUCACCCCUGCCUGUUGAUGCUGUGCCUCUGGCUCCCACUACCUUACUUACCUCCUGGCAGUAUUCUGACUUCGGGUUCCUUACUUCCAGUGCUGUGCAGUGGAACAGCACUGAAGGGGACAAUGAACCGACUGCUACUGGAACCUUUGGAUUUCGUCUGACCAACAAUGCCUAGUAUUCCGGAUCCCGGGAACUUGCACAAAGAAACAUCAGAAUAACAAGUUCCGUUUAUUGAAGUGAGAAGAUGCCAGGGCUAGAAGCUCUCAAUGAUAAGGCUGCAUGAGUUGGUCAGCUGACCAAUGAUGAUGUGCCUUUGUGGGUCCAAAACAAACGGGACCACAAAAGACACAUUAUGUCCAGGCUCCAAAGGAGGAUCCGGCGCCUCUGCAGAACCAGGUUUGAUCUCUGCAUCCUACAAAGGAUGUGGAGUGACAUCAAGUGGAGGGAGUCUGAGUUUGUGGCCCAAGUGGACCUGCAUCUCCACACAUUUGUUUUUAAACAGGGUCACUGCCCCCUUUCGAAAGCUAGAAAGAAAAAUGGAAAUAAUUCAGAAACUAUGAAAAAAAUUUGAAUAAACAACAAUUGAAAAGGAUGGGAGGAGGGUCACCAACACCCCAAACAUGCUCCUCAAGAAGGAGAUCAAGAGCAGCAGCUGGAGGGAAAGCCGCAGCUGGAGGAGAGCUGGAAGUAGCAGAAGACAUCUGGGUAGAUGAGUUCAGCGGUUCACCACAAAUGAGCCCCACAAUUGAAGAAAUCCACACACCAGAGCCAUAAGGGCAACCCAGCUAGAGGAGGCUAAAGCAGACUGGCUACAGGUGGAAGGGAGCCUGGAGGGAAGAAGCCCGGAGGUCAUCCGCAGGUGUGCCGCCAGCUCCAGCAACUGGAGAAAAGGGUGGCCCUCCUGAAACAGUCAAAAAAAAAUAAAAACUUCUGAUUUUAAAAAAAAAUAAACAUUUUUUGUACCUCAAAA